Long non-coding RNA from Lucilia cuprina (Australian sheep blowfly), 325 nucleotides. RefSeq lists it as uncharacterized. The record is from RefSeq and is a predicted model, not a curated record. NCBI's taxonomy places the organism in Eukaryota, Metazoa, Arthropoda, Insecta, Diptera, Calliphoridae. The transcript has 2 exons.
AUUUAAGCGUUUGCCGUGAACAUUGCCAGUCUCAAAAUUAAUCUGACAGAGAUGACAUUGGUAUUUGAAUAUAUGUCUCUUUUUGGUAGAAAUACCUCCCAAACGAUACGUAUUAUUGUUCUAAACACAAGAAGGGCCUGCAUUGAAAAUCCUGAUCUGAUUAAAAAAAAUAUCAGCUGAAUUUGUGAUUCCACGUCUAUAAUCUAUAUGUUAGUUACAAUUAUAAAACGAUUUGUGCUUAAUUAUUUGCAAAAUAUUAUGAAAUUUGGAUUUUUCAAUGUAAUUUUUAUUAAUAUUAAAACUGUUUUAAAAUUUUCUUAGAUAA